RNAcentral lists this long non-coding RNA (723 nucleotides) under Serinus canaria (Common canary). Its description in RNAcentral is "lncRNA (ENSSCAG00000006429.1)". The record is from RNAcentral. Lineage: Eukaryota; Metazoa; Chordata; Aves; Passeriformes; Fringillidae.
CAGCACUGCUGACUGCAGCUGAGUGGAUGGCUGGAAGUGAAAUAUUUUGGUCACUGUAGUAAUUGCAGUAACCCUACCUUCCAGAAGGACUUCAGGCUUUUGCCCCGGGGCCCCUAACCAGGCUUUGAUACCUCCCUUGGCUUUUUCUGUUCUGUCUUUCUGUUUUUCUGUCUUUCCUGCCUCUUACCAGCUCCUCCGUGACUGCCGCAGCUGGUUUGCUGGACGUUAUCCUUACUGCUCUGCGAAUGCUUUGCUAACUAAAUUCACGGGUUCCCUUCUCCCCUUUUCUCCCGCAGAAGUUGAUGAUAAUACAGAAGAGUCGGAUGAAAGCUGUGUUUUGGCUUUCUCUGCAAGCUUUCAGUUCACUGCCUGCGAGUCUCUCGGUCUCAGGAGUGGCAGCUGCUGGUUUGAUUCCAUUUGUGAAACGCGGAGUACUCGAAGGGAGGUGCCGGUUGGAAAUGACCGAAGGCAUUCUGAAGCAUCCUCCAACAACCUGCCAGCAGCAUCUUCCAUCAGCUCCGAGGAGGAAGCAAAUGGACUGAGAAGAAGGGGCCAUUAGCAGUGAUUGCACAACCUGACCUCUUUGAUUGGGCGGCAUUUAUUCCAUGUUGAUGUGAUCAGAAAUAUCAGCCAAUUUAUUAAGUUCUGAAGCAGCAUGGCCAAAGCUCAUCCUUAAUCUCUAUCCCAUUUCCUGGUCUCCUGCCAGAAGAGAUCCUGACUGCA